RNAcentral lists this ribosomal RNA (491 nucleotides) under uncultured bacterium. Its description in RNAcentral is "partial 16S ribosomal RNA". It matches the Rfam family "Bacterial small subunit ribosomal RNA", at positions 29 to 507 of the family's 1533-position model. The record is from RNAcentral.
GUGAACGCUGGCGGUCGGCCUAACACAUGCAAGUCGCACGGCAGCACAGUAAGAGCUUGCUCUUACGGGUGGCGAGUGGCGGACGGGUGAGGAAUACAUCGGAAUCUACUUUUUCGUGGGGGAUAACGUAGGGAAACUUACGCUAAUACCGCAUACGACCUACGGGUGAAAGCAGGGGAUCUUCGGACCUUGCGCGAGUGAAUGAGCCGAUGUCGGAUUAGCUAGUUGGCGGGGUAAAGGCCCACCAAGGCGACGAUCCGUAGCUGGUCUGAGAGGAUGAUCAGCCACACUGGAACUGAGACACGGUCCAGACUCCUACGGGAGGCAGCAGUGGGGAAUAUUGGACAAAGGGCGCAAGCCUGAUCCAGCCAUACCGCGUGGGUGAAGAAGGCCUUCGGGUUGUAAAGCCCUUUUGUUGGGAAAGAAAAGCAGCAGGUUAAUACCCCGCUGUUCUGACGGUACCCAAAGAAUAAGCACCGGCUAACUUCGUG